Molecule: unclassified non-coding RNA, 148 nt
Organism: Macaca mulatta (Rhesus monkey)
Lineage: Eukaryota; Metazoa; Chordata; Mammalia; Primates; Cercopithecidae
Rfam family: Metazoan signal recognition particle RNA
About the family: The signal recognition particle (SRP) is a universally conserved ribonucleoprotein. It is involved in the co-translational targeting of proteins to membranes. The eukaryotic SRP consists of a 300-nucleotide 7S RNA and six proteins: SRPs 72, 68, 54, 19, 14, and 9.
Source: Ensembl
GCCGGGCGCGGUGGCGGGCGCCUGUAGUCCUAGCUACUCAGGAGGCUGAGGCAGGAGAAUCACGUGAACCCAGGAGGCGGAGCUUGCAGUGAGCCGAGAUCGCGCCACUGCACUCCAGCCUGGGCAACAGCGUGAGACUCCGUCUCAA